Molecule: ribosomal RNA, 552 nt
Filed under: uncultured bacterium
Lineage: Bacteria
Description: bacterial SSU rRNA
Rfam family: Bacterial small subunit ribosomal RNA
Source: RNAcentral
AAUAGAUACCCCGGUAGUCCACGCCGUAAACGAUGAGUGCUAAGUAUUAGGGGGUUUCCGCCCCUUAGUGCUGCAGCUAACGCAUUAAGCACUCCGCCUGGGGAGUACGGUCGCAAGACUGAAACUCAAAGGAAUUGACGGGGGCCCGCACAAGCGGUGGAGCAUGUGGUUUAAUUCGAAGCAACGCGAAGAACCUUACCAGGUCUUGACAUCCCAUUGACCACUAUGGAGACAUAGUUUUCCCUUCGGGGACAACGGUGACAGGUGGUGCAUGGUUGUCGUCAGCUCGUGUCGUGAGAUGUUGGGUUAAGUCCCGCAACGAGCGCAACCCUUGUUCUUAGUUGCCAUCAUUUAGUUGGGCACUCUAAGGAGACUGCCGGUGACAAACCGGAGGAAGGUGGGGAUGACGUCAAAUCAUCAUGCCCCUUAUGACCUGGGCUACACACGUGCUACAAUGGACGGUACAAACGGUUGCCAACCCGCGAGGGGGAGCUAAUCCGAUAAAACCGUUCUCAGUUCGGAUUGUAAGCUGCAACUCGCCUACAUGAAGCC